UAGUAUGAAGCAAAAUUUGCAUUUAGUUUCGACCUAAAAAUUUGAUAAUUUAUCCUUACUAA
RNAcentral lists this transfer RNA (62 nucleotides) under Apoderus coryli (hazel leaf roller). Its description in RNAcentral is "tRNA-Arg". Lineage: Eukaryota; Metazoa; Arthropoda; Insecta; Coleoptera; Attelabidae. The record is from RNAcentral.